AAUCAACUUAUGCAAACUCCUUCUAAAAUCACAAGAUCGAAUUCUAAAAUCACGUUUCGUAAAUAUUUCUCCUUAAGAUGGAAUCUUUCCACAAGAAUGCUCGUUAUGCUAAUCAAUGUAUGCAAACUCCUUCUAACCACUCAGUCACAGACGAUUUUAUUAUACACUGCAAAAAUGCACUCUACUGCUUUGAGCAGUAGAAGAGAAGAGAAGAAGCCGUGGAGGGGUCCAUUUUUCUUCACUCCGUUUCACUGUAUGGGCCUUACUGAAAACUUUCAUCUCAAUCAAUCUUUUUCUGAGUCAUUGGUAAAAAUAAACGUCAAUUAUUACUUUUUCGCGAGUUUUGUGCACCAAUAAGAGAAGAGUUUAAAUUUUAUGGAUUCUAACCUUUUAAUAUUUUUGAUUGAACACGUUAUAUUUUUUAAGUUAUGGCUUCAUGUUUAUUUAUUGCAAUUUUAAUAAAUAUUUACAUUUAAAUUUAUGCUACACGUCGAAAGUUAGGGGUUUGAUUGAACCCAUUCUUUAAGUGCAUCCGCCCUGACCCCAACUAUUAGUUGUUCUCUUUUACUACCUGAACUAUCAAUAUUUAUGUAUUAAAAUAUACCUCAAAGCUGACUAGGCCAACUAUGAACUGUUCCCUUUUCCUACAUGAAUUAUCAAUUAGGUGUGUUUUAAUACAUAAAUAAUAAUAGUUCAGCUAUAAAAAGAGAACAACUAAUAGUUGGAGCGUGAAACUCGCAAAAAAAUGACAAUUUUAAUGUGUUUUUGACCAUUAUUUCUCUUUUUUACUCUUCCUUAUAUUUGAAAAACUACUACCACCUGCUUUCUUUAUAUUUCUCUUCAAUUCCUAAUUUGAAUUUCUCUUGCAGCUGAGCUAUGCUAGUUUUUCUGUCAUAAACCCCUCCAAUUUUCAGCUAAUGCAGGAUUGAGUUAGUGUCCCGUAAUUCCCAGCAUCAGGCUUUUAGCAUGGGGAAGUCUCCAGGAAAAUGGAUCAAAACUGUGCUUUUUGGGAAAAAAUCAUCCCAGUCUAACUUGCCAAAGGAAGUCACUGGUGAGAAAGGGUCUGCUGCAAAGGCAUCCUUGGAGGAUCUUGCCCUUAAUCCACCAAUUUAGAAUUUCGAUAGGGGGUCUGAGAACACAGAACUGGAGAAGGGUACAAGCACUGUCAUAUCAUGUGAUAGUGCUGAUUUAUCCUCUGUGACACAAGAUGUAGAGUCACAAGUUACAAAGGUAGCGAUUUCAGCUGAUGAUGCCGAGUUAAAAAGGCUAGAGCAAGCUGCAACCAAAGCGCAAACAACUUUUAGGGGUUACUUGGCUCGUCGGGCAUUUUUAGCACUUAAAGGCAUUAUAAAGCUCUAGGCACUUAUUCGCGGGCACUUGGUAAGAAGGCAGACAGUUGCUACUCUACACUGCAUGCAAGCAAUUGGUAGGGUUCAGGCAUUAGCUCGUGGCCAAAAAACUCGACUUUUGGAUCCAGCCCAUCACGUCCUUAAGUACACUUCUGGAGGAUUUAAGGUAAGUCUUGUGAUAAAGUGUCUUAUUUCAAGGCUUUUGUGUCCAUCUCUUUCCACUGUUCCCAUUGCUGUUGCUUUGUUCAUCUCAGCUCUUUUCUCUCCCUUGUUUUGUAAAGCAUUGAUAUAAGCAUGGGACUGACUCGAUCUUACCAAAGGUUAAGGUGUUCAAAUAUAAAUUUAUGCUUUCAUUUUUGAAAACCUUUCGGAGGAACGAUUGACAGUGCCAAAGUUUCUAAUAGUAUGUCAAUCACUUAGAUGAUAUAAAAUGAGAAGUGUCAUAUAAAGUUGGAUUAUGCGUUUAUCUGCAGUUGCCUUUGAAUACGUUAUUACAUGUGAUAUAAUUGGUUUGUUCGACUGACCUUGCACUCUGUUUGACCAAGAUGCUAAGCAGGUGGACCUAAGCAUUGUAAACAAGUCUGUUAGGCCAGAAAAGCUAACAGCUAGUGCGUUUGUUUGCAAGGUAUUGUUGACCUUUUCUCCCUCAGAUGAAACAAAACAGAAAGAAUUCCUCUGCAUAAUCUCCAAGUUCCCAAGUAAUCCUGAAUUCCUCUGCAUAAUCUCCAAGUGCCCAACUUAGCUGUUUAAUGUUGGGAGAACACCUAAUAAAUUUAGACUGCUUUUGGGGUUUUGAAGAUUGAAGUUACAAGUCAAGAUGCAAGUUUAGAAGAUGCACAAGCUCAUUAUUAUUUUGCUAGGAAUGUAAUGCAAAACUUGAUAUCAUAGUCUAGCUCGGGAUGUUGGCAAAGCUUUUUUAUUAAGGUGUUGAGCAAAUAUUGAAACUAAUAUGGGAUGUUAACCAUUUUGUAAAUAAUAACUCUCUAUAUGUAUAUAUAUUUAUAUCUACAAUUCUGUAGCAAUUUGAUAUGUAUUGAUACUA
Molecule: long non-coding RNA, 2391 nt
Organism: Lycium barbarum (goji berry)
Lineage: Eukaryota; Viridiplantae; Streptophyta; Magnoliopsida; Solanales; Solanaceae
Exons: 6
Source: RefSeq, a predicted model, not a curated record